RNAcentral lists this unclassified non-coding RNA (568 nucleotides) under Alternaria kordkuyana. Its description in RNAcentral is "sequence contains 18S rRNA gene, ITS1, 5.8S rRNA gene, ITS2". The stretch from base 203 to 356 matches the Rfam family "5.8S ribosomal RNA". Lineage: Eukaryota; Fungi; Ascomycota; Dothideomycetes; Pleosporales; Pleosporaceae. The record is from RNAcentral.
CAUUACACAAUAUGAAGGCGGGCUGGACACCCUCCAGCCGGGCACUGCUUCACGGCGUGCGCGGCUGGAGCCGGCCCUGCUGAAUUAUUCACCCGUGUCUUUUGCGUACUUCUUGUUUCCUGGGUGGGCUCGCCCGCCAUCAGGACCAACCAUAAACCUUUUUGUAAUAGCAAUCAGCGUCAGUAACAACGUAAUUAAUUACAACUUUCAACAACGGAUCUCUUGGUUCUGGCAUCGAUGAAGAACGCAGCGAAAUGCGAUACGUAGUGUGAAUUGCAGAAUUCAGUGAAUCAUCGAAUCUUUGAACGCACAUUGCGCCCUUUGGUAUUCCAAAGGGCAUGCCUGUUCGAGCGUCAUUUGUACCCUCAAGCUUUGCUUGGUGUUGGGCGUCUUUUGUCUCCAGCUCGCUGGAGACUCGCCUUAAAGUCAUUGGCAGCCGGCCUACUGGUUUCGGAGCGCAGCACAAGUCGCGCUCUUGCCCAGCCAAGGUCAGCGUCCAGCAAGCCUUUUUUCAACCUUUGACCUCGGAUCAGGUAGGGAUACCCGCUGAACUUAAGCAUAUCAAUAA